RNAcentral lists this ribosomal RNA (500 nucleotides) under uncultured Glomeromycotina. Its description in RNAcentral is "partial small subunit ribosomal RNA". It matches the Rfam family "Eukaryotic small subunit ribosomal RNA", at positions 591 to 1092 of the family's 1831-position model. The record is from RNAcentral. Lineage: Eukaryota; Fungi; Glomeromycota.
CCAAUAGCGUAUAUUAAAGUUGUUGCAGUUAAAAAGCUCGUAGUUGAAUUUCGGGAUCAAUAUAUCGGUCGUGCCUUCGGUACGUACUGGUAUCGUUGAUUUCUACCUUCUGACGAACCAUGAUGUCAUUAAUUUGGUGUCAUGGGAAAUCAGGACUGUUACUUUGAAAAAAUUAGAGUGUUUAAAGCAGGCACACGCUUGAAUACAUUAGCAUGGAAUAAUGAAAUAGGACGUUUGACCCUAUUUUGUUGGUUUAUAAGAUCAACGUAAUGAUUAAUAGGGAUAGUUGGGGGCAUUAGUAUUCAAUUGUCAGAGGUGAAAUUCUUGGAUUUAUUGAAGACUAACUACUGCGAAAGCAUUUGCCAAGGAUGUUUUCAUUAAUCAAGAACGAAAGUUAGGGGAUCGAAGACGAUCAGAUACCGUCGUAGUCUUAACCAUAAACUAUGCCGACUAGGGAUCGGAUGAUGUUAAUUUUUUAAUGACUCAUUCGGCGCCUUACG